Long non-coding RNA from Oncorhynchus tshawytscha (Chinook salmon), 1698 nucleotides. The record is from Ensembl. NCBI's taxonomy places the organism in Eukaryota, Metazoa, Chordata, Actinopteri, Salmoniformes, Salmonidae.
GUGUUCGGCUUUGUUAAAGCGUAUUGCCUCAGAGUAAACGCAGCGUUUUCAGAAUCAAACAGUCUCUCUUUGAGCUGCUCAACCAUUACAUUUACAUUAGGGAUUCUUCAAGCGAUAGGCUGUCAUUUUACUUUCAUCCCUUUACAAGGAAAUGUACAGUAUGCAGUCUGCAGACAAGUUAAGUAAUAUCCCUGUUUGCAAAUCUCGUAACAUUCCCCUGUACUCUAUUCUUCAAAUGUUACAAAAGUCUCGAUCUAAACUGACUGUUUUUCUAGUGAUGUUAUCUUUUUUUCACAGUGCAAAGCCCAAGCCGACUGCUGAGGUCCAUGAGAAUGAAGUAGUGAAGCAGGAUACAGGUCAGGAAGACCAAGAAAGUGACAGCGACAAUGAGGAUGAUGAUGAUGAUGACAUGUGUGUAACCAUUGGAGCCCCGUCACAGCCGUUCAGGGUUCUUCAAAGCACAUUGCCCAGAGUCAUGAAGGCAGCAUGUCUCUCAGUGUGUGUCCCCUUGGUGGUGAUGAUGAUAACGUUUGCCCCAAAGCCAAAGGAGUGGACGUGGAUGCACAGGGUAGUGUUAACGGAAUCCCUGUGUUGGAGGUCGACGUGGAGUCUUUUGAAGAAAAGCCAUGGAGAAAGCAUGACUCGCACUUAACGAGGACUCCUGGAAAGCCUACUGUGAGAACCAGAGGAGAUUACGCAUGGGGUAUAAGGUCAUGAACCACGCUUCAGCCACUAAACUCAUGGAAUGGGACCUUCCCUGCUUUAGAUCUGACUACUCCUCCCCCAGCAACCACUACAAAUCAGCCUUGUCCAGAAAGACAAGCGGCACCACCAAUGUUAUUGGAGGACAAACUGGUACCAUCAGCCGGGUAGAGGAACAGAGACGUCACAAUAUAGAAGGAAAUAACAUCCAGGUGCUUUCCAAGCCAUCUGACGCUGAGCCUACUCCCACUAAGAUGCCCCCCUUCUUCCCCCUGCCUCCUUUCCCGCCUCCACCCUACAAUGUCAACUCUGCCCCUCCACUCAUUCCUCCACCACGUGUGUGUAAUUCUCUCCAGGUGUGUGGGUGCCAGUGCUUUCAGUCUGUCGGACUUCCUCCUCAUCGCCUGAUGAAUAUGAGGCAGAGGGCAGGAAGUCCCCCCUAGCCUGAGCUCACAGCUGAGCGCAGGCUGCCAUCGCUUCAUCUUCAAAGAUUCCAAAAUAGCACCCCUCACACACUCCCAGCACCCCCUAAGUUCAAUGAGCCCGGUACCGACAUGUUGUUCAACCUGUGCCAAAUAUCCUAAUACAACCAAAAUAUCAAACAUCCUGUUGACCCGGCAAACCUGGCUUUCCUUCUUUAAGUUACAGGCUCUGCCUCCUUUUGUGAUGCAAAUGUUUAACGUGAUAAAAAUAGCUCCUGGAAGAAAAGAAAAGUGCAGAGCCAGCAGAUUGGAGGGAGAGAGAGAGAGAGAACUUUGUUACUCUUGGUACAGUAGGGUCACAUUAGUGGUGUAGUAUUAUUGCUUGAUAGGGCCAGGUUUUAGCGUGGGGUUGUGUUGUCAUUGCAGGCCAGUCUGUGUAGUGAAGCACUAAGGGAUGCUGUCUGGAGCUCUAGUGUAGAACUGGUGGUACUGAUCAGUGUAGUUUGGCACAUACAUUGUGGUUAGUUUGACACCUGUACUGACUGAUAUGGCUGUGACGGUCUUGGAAUUUGAG